AUUGAACGCUGGCGGCAGGCCUAACACAUGCAAGUCGAACGAGUGGCGGACGGGUGAGUAAUGUCUGGGAAACUGCCCGAUGGAGGGGGAUAACUACUGGAAACGGUAGCUAAUACCGCAUACCAUCGGAUGUGCCCAGAUGGGAUUAGCUUGUAGGUGAGGUAACGGCUCACCUAGGCGACGAGCCCUAGCUGGUCUGCGAGGAUGACCAGCCAAGCUGGAACGGAGACCCGGUCCAGACGCCUACGGGAGGCAGCUGUGGGGAAUAUUGCACAAUGGGCGCAAGCCUUAUGCAUCCAUGCCGCGUGUAUGAAGAAGGCCUUCGUGUUGUAAAGUACUUUCAGCGGGGAGGCGUUACCCGCAGAAGAAGCACCGGCUAACUCCGGGCCAGCAGCCGCGGUAAUUC
This 406-nucleotide ribosomal RNA is filed under the name uncultured bacterium. Its description in RNAcentral is "partial 16S ribosomal RNA". It matches the Rfam family "Bacterial small subunit ribosomal RNA", at positions 30 to 526 of the family's 1533-position model. The record is from RNAcentral.